Molecule: ribosomal RNA, 359 nt
Filed under: Bacillus sp. (in: firmicutes)
Lineage: Bacteria; Bacillati; Bacillota; Bacilli; Caryophanales; Bacillaceae
Description: bacterial SSU rRNA
Rfam family: Bacterial small subunit ribosomal RNA
Source: RNAcentral
CGAUGCGUAGCCGACCUGAGAGGGUGAUCGGCCACACUGGGACUGAGACACGGCCCAGACUNCUACGGGAGGCAGCAGUAGGGAAUCUUCCGCAAUGGACGAAAGUCUGACGGAGCAACGCCGCGUGAGUGAUGAAGGUUUUCGGAUCGUAAAGCUCUGUUGUUAGGGAAGAACAAGUGCGAGAGUAACUGCUCGCACCUUGACGGUACCUAACCAGAAAGCCACGGCUAACUACGUGCCAGCAGCCGCGGUAAUACGUAGGUGGCAAGCGUUGUCCGGAAUUAUUGGGCGUAAAGGGCUCGCAGGCGGUUUGUUAAGUCUGAUGUGAAAGCCCGCUCAACCGGGGAGNGCAUUNNAAA